RNAcentral lists this unclassified non-coding RNA (759 nucleotides) under Hevea brasiliensis (rubber tree). The record is from RNAcentral. Lineage: Eukaryota; Viridiplantae; Streptophyta; Magnoliopsida; Malpighiales; Euphorbiaceae.
CAAAAUUUGUUGAUGAUGGUAGCAGCUGCCAAACAAAAGGGACCCAACUGUCAACAUCAGCACGUUAACAAAUUAAAAAAAAUCAGUAACACUUAAGAGACCAAUAACUAAAGAGGAUAAAAAACAACAGAUGCAAAUUGACUUCAAUCCCACUAAGAAUUCCAAUUACAUACAGCACUUGAGAUGUUUAAAUGGUCAUUUAACUAAUAGCAGCCUAAAUUCUCCAGGCACCAUACAUAGGCAAUUGUGUUGUAGGAUUAAUAAUUGUGCAUCUGGAUCAACUUAUAGGAAAAAUACAAAUUACAUGGUUCGUCUAUAACACAUAUCUUCUGAAAAACAAUUAAACUAUAAAAUAAAAGUCAUAACAGGUUGGCUCAACAAUUCUGCAAUGCAUAAAACAGCAAAUAUGAUGGUUUCACUUCAGCUCUGGAGAGAGCACAAGGAGUUCUCAUAAUAGGGAAAAAAUUGUUUAAGAUUCUAAUAGCAUUAUCUAGUAAGCUUAGCAUUGGACAUAAUUGAAGCUUCAACACUCAAGCCAAACCUCAUAGCAUGCACUGGUAGUAAGCCCUUCCAUGAAGAGUGUAGCCUUGUCUAGACUCCAAAAAAAAUCUGGUCCAAUCCUUGUAUACUGGAUCCACAGCAAAACAGUGCAUAUCAAUUGACUGGCAAAUAGGAGCAAAUUCAGGAGCCUCUAGGCUAGUUCCCGCUGCGGUCGAACCCAAAGAUGCACCUUUUCUCUAUCCUUCUCAAUCUCCUGCC